RNAcentral lists this ribosomal RNA (517 nucleotides) under uncultured bacterium. RNAcentral describes it as "bacterial SSU rRNA". It matches the Rfam family "Bacterial small subunit ribosomal RNA", at positions 553 to 1071 of the family's 1533-position model. The record is from RNAcentral.
ACUGGGCGUAAAGGGCACGCAGGCGGCUAUUUAAGUGAGGUGUGAAAUCCCCGGGCUUAACCUGGGAAUUGCAUUUCAGACUGGGUAGCUAGAGUACUUUAGGGAGGGGUAGAAUUCCACGUGUAGCGGUGAAAUGCGUAGAGAUGUGGAGGAAUACCGAAGGCGAAGGCAGCCCCUUGGGAAUGUACUGACGCUCAUGUGCGAAAGCGUGGGGAGCAAACAGGAUUAGAUACCCUGGUAGUCCACGCUGUAAACGCUGUCGAUUUGGGGAUUGGGCCUUGAGCUUGGUGCCCGAAGCUAACGUGAUAAAUCGACCGCCUGGGGAGUACGGCCGCAAGGUUAAAACUCAAAUGAAUUGACGGGGGCCCGCACAAGCGGUGGAGCAUGUGGUUUAAUUCGAUGCAACGCGAAGAACCUUACCUACUCUUGACAUCCAUGGAAUCUUGUAGAGAUAUGAGAGUGCCUUCGGGAACCAUGAGACAGGUGCUGCAUGGCUGUCGUCAGCUCGUGUCGUGAG